CUGAUGUUGCAGCUUCACGGAAGAUGGAAAGCCUCAUGAUCAAUACAGACUGGAAGCUGUGAUAUGCUAUGAAAAGGAACUGUUUAAGGGCAUCGUCUUUGGGUACGCUUUAACAAUUUUGAUAAAGUCGUCCUCCAGGUUACAGGAAAAGAUGUACCUCAAUACAUAACAUCAUUCGAAGAAGCCGGCCUGCGCCAACUACUACGUCAAAACAUUAAGAAUUCUGGCUACAUAAAACCAACACCUGUUCAGAAAGCUUCAGUUGCAGUUAUUCUUGCCAAAAGAGAUUUAAUUGCUUGUGCUGUCACGGGCUCCGGCAAAACGGCGGCGUACUUGGUACCGGUUAUGAACAUAUUGUUAGAACAAGGUGUUGCUGGUGCGCCUCAUGCCAUGGGGCAAAAGCCAGAAGUUGUAAUUGUCGCACCCACUCGUGAAUUGGGCGUUCAAAUUGACCGCGAGGCGUGUAAAUUCUCCUACAGUUCGGUUUUAAAGUCUGUGAUUAUAUAUGGAGGAACUCUCACGAGCCAUCAGCGGUCAAAUCUUCAAGCUGGGUGCAAUAUUU
Daphnia carinata is the source of this 562-nucleotide long non-coding RNA. RefSeq lists it as uncharacterized. The transcript is spliced from 3 exons. The record is from RefSeq and is a predicted model, not a curated record. Lineage: Eukaryota; Metazoa; Arthropoda; Branchiopoda; Diplostraca; Daphniidae.